GUGGCUAUCGUUCAAUGGUAGGACAAUGGUUUGUGGUACCAUGAAUCAGGGUUCGAUUCCCUGUAGUCACCCCA
This 74-nucleotide transfer RNA is filed under the name Candidatus Moraniibacteriota bacterium. RNAcentral's name for it is "tRNA-His". It matches the Rfam family "tRNA". From Rfam's summary of the family: Transfer RNA (tRNA) molecules are approximately 80 nucleotides in length. Their secondary structure includes four short double-helical elements and three loops (D, anti-codon, and T loops). Further hydrogen bonds mediate the characteristic L-shaped molecular structure. tRNAs have two regions of fundamental functional importance: the anti-codon, which is responsible for specific mRNA codon recognition, and the 3' end, to which the tRNAs corresponding amino acid is attached (by aminoacyl-tRNA synthetases). tRNAs cope with the degeneracy of the genetic code in two manners: having more than one tRNA (with a specific anti-codon) for a particular amino acid; and 'wobble' base-pairing, i.e. permitting non-standard base-pairing at the 3rd anti-codon position. The record is from RNAcentral. Lineage: Bacteria; Candidatus Moraniibacteriota.